GAGAGUUCAAAGAAUUUAUGCUCAAAUAUAAGAAUUUAUGUGAGUUAUUUCAACCUAAGCAACAAUCAGUCUAUUACCUGUUAAUUGCAGAGUCCAAAAUUAAACCUAGACACUUUAAGUAUUUUUACAAUGAGUUUCUGGGUAAAGUAUUCAGUAGAAAAUAUUGUAAUGUUCCCAUGCAUAAGACAGUGUACAAUACAAUAAUGAUUAAUCUUUCUGCUUUUCUUUUCACCUUUUAUCGUUAGAGGGAUGUUUUGGGUGGUGUUGUUAGAUAGAGAUUUUGUUUACUGUCCACUAAUGAGUGAUGACAUCACUAUCAAUCAUUGUUUGGCUCUUUCCCAUAUCUCCGUUUUAUUUAUGUCAAAAGAUCUAGCAGGAACCGAGGAUUCUGUCUUCAAAUUUUGUGCUUUUUAUAUUAAUUGCUGUGUUUAGGGCGUUGAAAGCUCUUCAAAUCUGAUUUGGAAUGCCUGUGCUAUAGUUUCUUAUUCUAAUUUUAUCACCAUUGUAGCAUGCCUUGUUUGAAAACCCCUUCCUUUUCUCUUCUCUUCUCUUAUAUAACCCAUUCUGUUCAUUAAGUAGUGACAUUUCCCUUUCUAUAAGGAAUUACAGGUUUCUUUGUUACAAUUUGGAU
RNAcentral lists this unclassified non-coding RNA (631 nucleotides) under Hevea brasiliensis (rubber tree). Lineage: Eukaryota; Viridiplantae; Streptophyta; Magnoliopsida; Malpighiales; Euphorbiaceae. The record is from RNAcentral.